AUAAAAACACAAACUAUAUAAAAGGUCUGCUGGUAAUUUUUCAGAAGUAAAUACAAUCACCUUACUAAAUAAUAAUCUUGGAAUUAUUCUGAAAUAUUUUCAUCCUAUCUAAAAAAAAACAGUCUAAAGUCAUUAAUGAUCUAGCCCUUUAAUUUGUUACUCUCAGCCUAGCUAGCAGAGCAUUUCUUGUCAAAUAUCUAUAUUUUUGGGUUUAGGCAUAUAAAAUGGGAAGGAAAAAAUUAGCAGAUGGCCUCAGGGGGAAAAAACCCAAAAAAGAGCAAACUGAUUGGAGAUGAAUCCCACUGAGAGCUUUAAAAAUAAACAGUAAACCUUAGUUUGAAUCUCUAAAUGAACUGAGAACCUUUGAUGCGACUCUCGCACUGAAGUGAUGUUACAUAUAGAAGCAGUCAGGACUUGUGUAUCCACAUGGACUUAGAAUAAUAAAUGCUAUUCAAGCAGUAAUGAUAAUAAAUUAAAGCCUGAAUUUAACAAAAUUAGACCAAAUCAAAUUAUUUCAGUGUGGCUUUACUUUAAUGUACUUACGACAAUUACUGAACAUCUUUAGUUAUCCCUGAUCAAUCACCAAUGUUUCUGUCAUGUUAAUAUUUUCCAAUAUAAGAAUAUAGAAGCAUGAUAGGCCCAAAAAUGGAACCCUGAGAAUAGAAAUAUGUCUUUUAUAUUGUUUAUGGACCAGCUUUUUGCAAAAUAAUCAUCAACCUUGUGAGAAACCUUGAUAGAGUAACCACCUGGAGUUUUAAAUCCAUGCCUUCGUGUCACUUUAUUACUGUGAAUAAAAUUUUGGCAUUUUGAAUCAGGAAGAUUAAGAAAAUUUAGGCUGCCUCAUACCUUUAUAGUGAACAGAAAUGUCCCUUCUCACCAUGAAAUGAACCAAGCCAAGGAAAAAUAGGUUAUCUUAUCUGUGGUGUGAAAAGCCAAGACUUCAAUUCGAGGAUCAGCAUUGGCAAAUUUAUCGAAAAACCUUUCCAUUCAGUAGAAACACGUAAAAGGUAUAAUUAGGCUUUUUUCCAGUGCCGGGGAUUAAGACAGUGAUUUACGGAAGCAGUGUGCCUGAAUUUAUCAUACAUGAGCUCAUUUUUGCAGUACUGCUGUGAGGAUUUACAAGUUAUUAUUCUGCAGUGGAGCAUGACACAGCUGGAGACUCACUAUUAGUCAUGCACACGUUGGUGAUUUAUUCAUACCUAACGUAGAAAAUGAAAGAAAAUAAUGUUACUCUUUAAACAAAUUUGUAAAAUGUCAAAUGGUAAUAACCAGGCAAUGAAUUUCUUAAACAAUAUCAGCACAUGAAAAGAUCAAAAGUGCAUAUUAAUGCAGCCUUCUUUUUCUGGGCAUUUGAAAAUCUUGACCCACCCUUACACCAUAGAGAUCGUGUAAGUCAUAGGGGGAAUUUUCCUUUUGCUAAUUAUACAUACUUAUAGAUAGAUAGAUAGAUUUAAUAGAUAUAGAUUUUAGAGAUUUAAUAAAUAUAUUUUUUUCAUUUUUAAAUUAUUUAAAAUGACGUGAUUAGGGGUUAGGGGCUGGAUGACUACUAGUCAACUACUCAAGCAGUAAUUCAAAAAAAAAAAGUUAUUGAAUAGCUGUAUUUUCCAAAGAUAAACCAAAAACUAUUGCUAUUUUUAGGCUGUUGUGCAGAAAAAAGGUUUGUGUAUCAAACCUCCCUUCAGUUAGGAAAGUAAAUAAAUCAGUGUUCCAUAUUAGACGCACCAUUUGUUAAAAGGUACUCGUCUGCACAAGCUGGCAGCUCAGCUGAAAUUGUUGUUUCUGAAACUGAGAUUGCACAGCAUGGAAGCUCAUGUCCAUCAACAGAGCCCUCCGUGUAGCUUAAUGAGCGGCCUUCUUUGGAUGGAGGAUACAAUGUAUACAGCAUUUGGAAUAUUUUUCUGCCAUGUUUGACUCCGGCCUCAGUAGCAUCUGAUAAGAGGCUAUGCCUCGUUGAGCUAGCAUGUGCUUCUGAUCAGACGGGGAUCAGAUUGGGAUCAGAUUCUAAACGGAUGUGCAACCCGCGGCUCUGAAAGUGCUCUUUCACACAGCACUGGUCACGAUGGAAUUCAGUCUGCCACAGGGCAAGGAUUUUAUUCAAAUUUUAUGUAGAUUUAAAGGGUAGGAAUUCCUUCCUGAAUGGGCAUCGGGGAAAAAUUUGUGUACACAAAAUGGCCCACACAGGGGUGAGAUUAAAAAUCUGUUGGGAUUAUAUAAUUGCCUACUUUGUUUCAGACUAACAAAGUACAUUUAGCUGCAUUCUCUACCGGUUUCCUAACAGUUUUUUUCCACCAGCCUGUCUUGUCGACAUCCCCACAUCUUGCCCACAGCUAUCUGACAUACAAGUCCCUGUGAAUGAGUUAUAUAUAGAAACACUAGUGUAUUGAAAUGAUGCAUUAAUUUAAACCUGAGAUUUGCAGCUGCACAACUGUCAGAGCUACUGUUAGAGAAAAUUCUGGAUACUCAACACACAAUACAUUCUGAUCAAUUAAAACUGAGAAUCCAAAAGCUCUCUGGUAUCAUUUUUAAUGAGGCAAUACUCAACAAGAAAAAAAUCACACUUAUAAUUGCAUCUAGACUUUUUGCCUUUUGCCCCCAUUUCAAUGCAGAUGCAGGGGUUUUUUGUUGUUACUGAUGUAUAAAAAGAUUGGGUUUGAAUAUAGGAUCAGAGGGUCAGUAGUGCAGGCUAUGAUCAAACUCACAACUGACUGAAAUAUCAAAGACCAGAUAGACUCACAGUGGAAGGAAACAAAGAGUGGAAGAGUUGAACACGGCGUAUAGGAAAUGGACGAGGAUCAGACUGUAACGAAAACAUGGCAAGACUUCGCAAAAUGUAAUAAUAAUAAUACGGAGAGAGUGUUCAUGGAGGGAUUUCCCCACUUAACGGACAUUUCAUCAAUUUAUCAACUAAUGUAAAUUACAGUAGAUAACUCAGUUAGCACACCAAUGUUGGGCCAUUGUUGGAUGUUUAGACUUACAGUCACCUUUAAAUCCACCUUGCCAACAUUGGUACAACAUUCUAUACAGCAGGCCAACACUGCCACUCAAAACAGAUGUUGGUGCGUCCAAUGUCAAUUUGCUACCUAGGAAUGGAUCACGUUAACAUGACUGUAGAUUUCAGGAGCAGAGUUUACCCAGAUGUCAUUUAGUUACUUAUUGCUGAUUGGUUGCAAGUUUAGAUUCAAACUGAGUGUACAUUAUAAUUAACUUUUAAUGAUCUACUCAAAUAAAGUAGACCAUGUUGAGAAGCAUGGUCACGGUCUGACAGUUCCACCCCACACCACCAGAGGGCCCCGUCACCAGAACCCUAGGCUACUUCCUGGUCACCUGAACACUCACCUGAUGCUCAUUACUUCUUCAUUUCCCCAGUUUUUAUGUACCCUUCAGUUUCCAAGCACACUGGAUGUGUGAAAUAACUAGAAUUUGGAAUAAAAUGGUUCUCCAAAUCUCUAAAACUAUACCACAAAAUCUCUUUUUUACAAGCAAUUGAUCAUGUGAUUCUUUAGUUUGUGUCACUGAUACCCUUUAAUUAGAGGAACGAUUUGGGUUUGUGGAACAAAUCCAUAAACCCAAACCCACAAACCUGUUUUCCAGGUUUUUUUUUUAAAGAGCAAGAGGCGAGUUCAUGCGUUAUUCAUAGCGCUAAGGGCCAGCUGUUCCUCUGAAGCCUCUUCUGAAUCAGUCUCAAGGUGCCCGACCCUUUUCUCCUCUGCAUGGGGUCAUCAUUUUAAUUUGGAUGGAGAAGGAAGGAGGAGGAAAAGAACCACUUCAGGUCUCCAUGAAGAGAACAGACGGCUGUGACAGCAUGAUGAUAAUCAAGGUAACAAGAGAGCACAUUAGAGCCGGACAGAUGGCUGGAGAGUCAACGACAACACCGCAGUCACCGGACUCACCAAUGACUCCUGGUCAUGAGUAAGAGUUUUCUGUAGAGAUGUUUAUUCAGCAUUUAUGGAAGGAGUCUCCAGUAUCAAUGGAAGGAGUCUCCAGUAUCAAUGGAAGGAGUCUCCAGUAUCAAUGGAAGGAGUCUCCAGUAUCAAUGGAAGGAGUCUCCAGUUUCUGAGACUGGAAUUCUUCAGGAUGGAGGAGAUUUACAGUUUCUCGGGAACAUGCCAAGCUGUGUUUUUUUUUUGUUGGGGUUUUUUUUUUUUUUUUUUUUGCCUUUCAAGCUACAAGAGAGAGGUAAUGAGGCUGGAGAGAGAAUGACUGUAUCUAUCCUGCUGCUAUAACAGGAACUACCCUGGAUUAACAGUAAAUGUUGCUAUAAACAGAUAAAAAAAAAAAGUGUGAAUAAAUAAAAAAUUGUUAGUGUCAGCUAUAAGAGGAAUAAACUGUAACUCCGUUUCAUCACACCAGCAUGGUUUUGUUACACAGAUAUGGUCAAGUAUUGACUGUGUACCGUGUCAGUGAACGCCUUUAGCAUGCCAGGAGACAUUGCGUGACAUGUUUUGUGGUGUGUUUGGGAAAGGCCCUGCUGUAGGUCCGUGAUCUCACCCUGCUCUCUAAAGUCGAAGAUGUGGUUAAUAGUUAGCUAACAGGGAAAUCGUCGCCGCAUAGGCUUUUUUGUUUUUUUACAUAAUUUGAGUGACUGUCUCUUAUAAGCAGAUGCUCAUUUGAUGAAAAAUGGCAGGAAGUACCAUAAAGAUGGCCGCUUGCCUUCUCUAACAGUUUCCUCCCUUGUCUCGGUGGUCACAUCCCCAAGGUCUGGAAGAUCUAUUGUUUCGCUUUCUCUCUCCCCUUCCCAAACCGUCAUCCUCUAUCACUUUCUAGAUAGACAAAGACAGAGUCUGGAGCCAGCAGUGCUAUUGUGCAUCCUGGCUGGAGUCCAAGGUCAGGGCUGCAACUGCCUGCCAACAGUCUUCGACAAGUACAGCACACAAACACACACUCAGUCCCUCAGUGUGUAUAGGCCCAUGAUAAUAGAUUAUUUGAUAGACUGGCCUCAGUGGACUGUAGGGCCAAUGCCAAUGGACAAUGCUAAACCUGACACCACUUAGCUGAAGCAGCUCAUGUGUCUGCCAUUGUGUCACACAUGAUCACUGCAAACAUACAUAGGAUUAAAACACAAACGUGGCCCUAAAUCAACUGAUGUCAAUACCGAGAUAUUAGAUGUACUACUUAUUAUACUAUUCCAGUAGCUGUUUUUUUUUUUUUUUUUUCAGUCUUAUAUGCAGUUUCACAGAAAUGAAGUUAGUCCAAAUGUACUUAGCAUAAUUAGCAUUUUGUUUCCCAUUGGUCUCCCCAAUUUGGUCAUCUGCCGAUUCCCACCCACCAGCCACCAGUCUCCUGUGACAGCUACCAGCCAGGGAGGGUGAAGGCUAACACGUGCUUCCUCCGAGACGCAUCCAUCUGCGACUGCGUCUUCUCGAGCUGCUGCUCAUGCUGCGUCACAGGGCAGCCUCAGACACUCAGAAGAAAGCUCAAUCUGCCCUCUUCCGCAUAUAUGAGCUCAUAGACGAUACGUGAUUGGCUAGUGAGGAUGGAGAUAGAGUAUGUCAUUCCUCCAACAAGGAAAGCACGGCCGAUUUUGUUCUCUUGGCUCCCGGCCAUGGGGAAGGCUGUGACAUCAUCAGGAUUGAAACUUGCGAUCUCCUUUUUUUUCUGUUUAUGCUAUUUUUAAAAUCCUGUUUACACUGUUAUUAUUUUCUAACAAAUUUCGCUGGUUCUUUUCCAGUAGCCUAAAUGAAACCACCAUGACCCUGACCCUGACCAGGCAAUUACUAAGGAUGAAUGAAUGAAUGCUGUAAAUGAAUUCUUAUCCCACGAGCUUCAUCUCUGACUGCUUGCCCAUAUGAAAAUAAAAACCUGUAUCUGUAUUUGUUUAGAAAACAUUAUAUGUUCAGUCAGAUUAAUGGAUUUAAGCACCAUUACAUCCUGUGUGUGUGUGUGUUUCCUAAACCUAAUCCAACAGUAGAAUUAAUUAUUUCAUAAACAUGUUUUCUGGCCACCACACCAGAGGUUCUCUUUAUAAAGAACGGAUAGAACGGUUAGCAUUGUGUGUGUGUGUGUGUGUGUGUGUGUGUGUGUGUGUGUGUGUGUGUGUGUGUGUGUGGCGCUGCUGAGUGCGGACUGUAGAAGCAUGAACCUUAUUAACCUCACAACUGGUUGGAACCGGCUGGUGCAGCAAGAGGAACCGAUCUUGCAGAUGAAUUAACACACUGCAAAGGUCUUUGGAAUUUCAUCAGACAACAAAGAAAGAGGGUCAGAGAGCAAAGUCAGCAGUACGCACACACACACACACACACACACAUACACACAAGGCUUUAGACAAUGAGAAAAGAGGAUCAGAGGGUGAGCUCAGUAGUACAGUUGGAGAAACAGUGUUAAUGCUUUCAGAGCCUCUCAAGUUGAUUAGAGACCACACACACACACACACACACACACACACACACACACACACGCUCAUCCAGAGGACUCCCACUGCAGAUGUUCAAAUACGCAGGCAUUAACUUAAUUGGGCCUGUAUAAUUUGCACUGGAUUUUAUACUUCAUAUACGGCCAAUGAGUGCAAUAUGGCAAAAUGCACAUGUGGUGGAAUCAAAGAAAAGUGUAUUUCUACAUUGUUUUAUUAUUUAUGUUGCCAAGACUGCGGGCUGGUUUUGACUUGCUGCUGUGUGGUUCCUGUCUGAGAGGUGACGGUUGCAUGUUUUGCAUACAUUUGAUUAUUUAUAUUGAUGUUUUGCAAGAAAAAUAGGUCAAAUGCAGAAUUAUAUGUAUGCAGAUAUAUAGAUAUAUAUAUGACAUUGGUUUGUCAUAAUGAAUUUGUCGUACACUUCAGCCUUUCUUUGUGUCUGAAGUCUGUUUGUGUGUCUACGUUGUGAUUACCAUCACAGGCCUGCCUUGAAAGAGUGUUACAGAAAACAGCUUGCACAAUACAACUUAAGUGCACAUGCUUAAUUAACAUUAACGCCAAUGGCAAUGACAUCAUCCUUUUUAUCCGAGCCCCGUUUACAGCCAUGGUCCAAUAAAGGAUGGGAUUGACAUUCAAGAAGCUUAAUAAAAUAUAGAA
Molecule: long non-coding RNA, 7003 nt
Organism: Pangasianodon hypophthalmus (striped catfish)
Lineage: Eukaryota; Metazoa; Chordata; Actinopteri; Siluriformes; Pangasiidae
Exons: 3
Source: RefSeq, a predicted model, not a curated record